Molecule: non-coding RNA, 27 nt
Filed under: Cricetulus griseus (Chinese hamster)
Lineage: Eukaryota; Metazoa; Chordata; Mammalia; Rodentia; Cricetidae
Also listed under: 1 other name
Source: RNAcentral
GUUGGUCCGAGAGUAGUGGUGUUUACA